This 105-nucleotide ribosomal RNA is filed under the name uncultured bacterium. RNAcentral describes it as "partial 16S ribosomal RNA". It matches the Rfam family "Bacterial small subunit ribosomal RNA", at positions 1379 to 1482 of the family's 1533-position model. The record is from RNAcentral.
CCUUGUACACACCGCCCGUCACACCAUGGGAGUUGGUUCUACCUGAAGCUGGUGUUGCUAACCUUAGGGGGGCAGCCAACCACGGUAGGGUCAGUGACUGGGGUG